UACAAUACAUUAGACUACACCACUGAGCCCAUCGCACUUCCUGGCGGCCUGAUACACCGAAGGCAGCAUCAUUUCACGGAGAAAGAGAGAAAUCAAAAUAAAGAGACGGAUCGAGGGACUGUGCUUUGUGCUGGAAUUUGUUGCAGGAAAAACAGCUGUUACACAAUCUCCUGGGCUGUAAAUUUAUCGUGUUUCUUUUACCCUUAUAGUGUUUUAAAGCUUGUUUCUUUCGGCACGCAGCCGCGGGGUUUCCGCACCCGCAUACCGGGCUGUCACAUUUGGUGUAUAUGCGCUUGGCUGAGGAGCCAGUGGUCCGAUGCCAUCUGUGGGAUUAUGACUGGACGCCUCUAAAUCAGACAGGAGCUUUUUGACAACGAAUAAGACCAACUUUUAUCCAAACUGUUGUUUUUUUUUUAAUCCUAGGCCUGAUAUUUCCUCUUCAGAACGAAAGUAAAACGUUUAGAAUGACGCAGCCGUCUUUGUUAAAGCUCCGACGACAUGUAACACUUUGUUUUAAUCUUUUAAAAUACAUAUGAACGACAUUUUGACACAGCGAUGAAGUGGAUAACUAUCCUAUGGUUCGGAUCUAUUUUCAUUAUUUAUCUGCUCAUCAUUGCAGCCACCACAGUGCCAAAGGCAGAGCAAAGAGAGCGAAGAGAGGGGCGCGAAAAUGUUCAAUUAAUUUGCCCAAAGAGCCUGGAAGCAGCGGUCGGAGACGACAUCACUUUAGACUUCCACCUCGAGUCUGGAUCCGAUGCGACAAAGUGGAAAGCCUUUAUUUUUGAAUGCAAACAAAAUUCCGACAAUGCCCUGGUUUACAAAAGUAGAGGAUUUUUCUAAAGAAGAACAGGCAAACCGAUUCCGUGGCAGAGUAUCUCCUGACAGCAGCUGGGAACUAAGCGAAGGGAAACUAGCGUGGAAAAUCUCCCCAUUUCGAGAAAGUGACGCGGGAACAUACUACUGCUGGGUUGGAACUAGAAUACCCAAAUUCCCCUGCUCUACUGAACUGAAGAUCAAACAGGUGGACGAUCCAGGAAUGCAGAACAAAGCCCAAUACCCAUCCAUACCGAACCAGAGCCAAAAAAGUAUCCCGGACGUGACAGUGACAUUGGUAUUGGCUACGUUUGCAUUGCUGUGUUUGCUGCAUUACUAGAGAAAUAUGGAACGAUCAGUACGAGUUCAAGAAGAGCCAGGAGAGGACGCAACGGUCAGACAAGAAAAGAGAAAAUUAAUAUUCCUACCAACCUAAGCCCAGACAAUAUGUAAAAACACUUAAACAUAACUCUUCAGCUACAAGCCAAUAUAAGCUACCAAAUAAGAAAAAGCUUUUAUUACAUCCUUGUCUUUAAUCAGGUGCCUCCAGGAAAACACACUGGUUGCUACAACAAUGAUAAAGCAUUAUUUUUCUAUUUUUCUUCUCAAAAAAAGGCAACCCAUAGUUUGUUUAUUCUCUGUAUCCUGGAUGUACCUGAUAGCAGCAGCUCCUCUGUUGGACCUCAUGAUGGUGCUGUUGGCGUACUGUUAUUUUGUUUGAAUACAGCUGCUCUGGGAGAUAAAAUGCACCUGAGACUACAGUACUGAGAUUGCACAAACUAGUACGGAUGGGCAAAAGAAUAAGAUACUGCAUUAUAUCGCACAUAUUUUUUGUGGCAAUACUGUAUCGAUACACAGAUGAAAGUAUUGGUCUUUGCUUGAAUUGUACAUGAGAUUUUAACUUUUAGGUACUAGAUGAAGGAAAUCAAUUGUGUUUACAGUCCACUACAUGUUUUAUCUUUUUAGAUAACACAGACGUUGACCAAGUUUUCGUUUGGGGGUGUAAUUUGAAGCUGAAAGAAAAAGGUCAUAAAUUGCAAUAUAUCUGAAUAUAUCGUGACAAUAUCGCAUCAGGAAGGCCUCUGGUGCUUCCCACCCCUACAAACUAAGUUGCAAGGAUGAAGGAUGAAAGAAGGGAUUACUCUGCUGCCUCAGUGUUUGGAAGGUCUGUUAGGUUAUAGUUUACAGUUUAAUCAUGAAAUGUUUAAUUUGAUAUACGUGCUUUUUGAUACUUGAGCUUUUGAUACAUUAGAUCAUGAUUUUAUAAAUCAUCUCAGGGAUUUCUUAAAGUCUAUAUUGAUUUUUAAAUAGUUUUCCUUACUGUGCUGCCGUUAACAGUGCUUUUGCUUCACUUCAUUGUAUCAUUGUUUUUUACUGACUGUGAAGAACUUUACAUCUGUUCUGGAAAGCACUACUUAAGGUUGUAUUUUGGAAUUGCUCAUUCUUUUAUUCCACAACCAAAAUCACACAACAAUUGUGAGCUUUGUAAGCUGUGAAAUAUCUGGACACAGGAUGAGGUGCUGGAAUUUUUGAUUGUUCGUUAAUAAAAAUAUGUUUUCAUCA
Perca fluviatilis (European perch) is the source of this 2376-nucleotide long non-coding RNA. RefSeq lists it as uncharacterized. The transcript has 7 exons. The record is from RefSeq and is a predicted model, not a curated record. Lineage: Eukaryota; Metazoa; Chordata; Actinopteri; Perciformes; Percidae.